Molecule: non-coding RNA, 275 nt
Filed under: Ricinus communis (castor bean)
Lineage: Eukaryota; Viridiplantae; Streptophyta; Magnoliopsida; Malpighiales; Euphorbiaceae
Description: Bacterial small subunit ribosomal RNA
Rfam family: Bacterial small subunit ribosomal RNA
Source: Rfam by way of RNAcentral
AUGUGGUUUAAUUUGAUGCAAAGUGAAGAACCUUACCAGGACUUGACAUGCUACGAAUCCUAUUAAAAGAGAUGGGUACCUUCGAGAACGCGGACAGAGAUGGUGCAUGGUUGUCGUCAGCUCGUGUCGUAAGGUGUCGGGUUAAGUCCUGCAACGAGCGCAACCCUCGUGUUUAGUUGCCACUGUUGAGUUUCGAACUCUAAGCAGAGUGUCGGUGAUAAGCUGGAGGAAUAAUGGUAUCUCCAAUUAUAGCCCCUCUAAGAUGUAAAAUAUAU